This 46-nucleotide non-coding RNA is filed under the name Schistosoma mattheei. The record is from RNAcentral. Lineage: Eukaryota; Metazoa; Platyhelminthes; Trematoda; Strigeidida; Schistosomatidae.
GCACUGCUGAGGAGUCCCAUCUUAGGACGAAACAACCUUCCAGUGC